CCUACGGGAGGCAGCAGUGGGGAAUAUUGGGCAAUGGAGGCAACUCUUACCCAGCAAUGCCGCGUGAAUGAAGAAGGUCUUCGGAUUGUAAAGUUCUUUAAUUGGGGACGAAAAAAAUGACGGUACCCAAGUAAUAAGCAUCGGCUAACUCCGUGCCAGCAGCCGCGGUAAUACGGAGGAUGCGAGCGUUAUCCGGAUUUAUUGGGUUUAAAGGGUGCGUAGGCGGUUUUUUAAGUUAGUGGUUAAACGUCGGGGCUUCACCUUGAUUUGCCAUUAAUACUGUAAGACUCGAGUUCAGACGAGGUAGGCGGAAUAAGUUAAGUAGCGGUGAAAUGCUUAGAUAUAACUUAGAACUCCGAUAGCGAAGGCAGCUUACCAGACUGCGACUGACGCUGAAGCACGAGAGCGUGGGUAGCGAACAGGAUUAGAUACCCCUGUAGUC
RNAcentral lists this ribosomal RNA (442 nucleotides) under uncultured bacterium. RNAcentral describes it as "partial 16S ribosomal RNA". It matches the Rfam family "Bacterial small subunit ribosomal RNA", at positions 338 to 795 of the family's 1533-position model. The record is from RNAcentral.